Molecule: ribosomal RNA, 429 nt
Filed under: Chloroflexota bacterium
Lineage: Bacteria; Bacillati; Chloroflexota
Description: Chloroflexi bacterium partial 16S ribosomal RNA
Rfam family: Bacterial small subunit ribosomal RNA
Source: RNAcentral
UGGGGAAUAUUGCACAAUGGGCGCAAGCCUGAUGCAGCCAUGCCGCGUGUAUGAAGAAGGCCUUCGGGUUGUAAAGUACUUUCAGUCGGGAGGAAGGUGGUAAGGUUAAUAACCUUAUCAAUUGACGUUACCGACAGAAGAAGCACCGGCUAACUCCGUGCCAGCAGCCGCGGUAAUACGGAGGGUGCAAGCGUUAAUCGGAAUUACUGGGCGUAAAGCGCACGCAGGCGGUUGAUUGAGUCAGAUGUGAAAUCCCCGGGCUUAACCCGGGAAUUGCAUCUGAUACUGGUCAGCUAGAGUCUUGUAGAGGGGAGUAGAAUUCCAUGUGUAGCGAUGAAAUGCGUAGAGAUGUGGAGGAAUACCGGUGGCGAAGGCGGCCCCCUGGACAAAGACUGACGCUCAGGUGCGAAAGCGUGGGGAGCAAACAGG